This 2911-nucleotide long non-coding RNA is filed under the name Lathyrus oleraceus (garden pea). Its description in RNAcentral is "Pisum sativum (pea) long non-coding RNA (PSAT_LNC031103)". Lineage: Eukaryota; Viridiplantae; Streptophyta; Magnoliopsida; Fabales; Fabaceae. The record is from RNAcentral.
UUCAAAGCCCAUGAUAAUUAUGAUAUUUUCACACCACAUUCAAAUGUCAAACCAACCUUUAAACCAAUUUCAAUUACAUCCAUCAUCCUUCAAUGUCCAAACCAAUAUGAUUUCCAUUCAAAACAAAAUCAUACAUUACAACCAAUUGCCAUGAUACACAUCCAAUUCGAUUAACCAUUAAAUAUCCAACUUACAAUCACAAGCAAAUUCAUUCAUUACCUUAUUCAACCAAGUUACAAUACAAACAUGCCAUUGCAUCUAUGACCUAAUGUUAAAUUGUGUACAUCGCCAUUUCAAACCACAUCACCAUUAAAGCAAAGUUCAAAGUCUUCUCCAUUUCCAAUGGUCCGUAGAAGUUCCUAGCCGCCUUGAUUCAUGCCAACAUGUCCAUGAUAAUAGCUCCAUAUGACAUCCUGCCAUGAUCUAUUCUAUCCAUUCCACAAACAGUCCAACCAAAGUCAUGGUAGCCAAACACAUACGACCUGCAUCAUUAACAAUUCCAAAACGUCACAUACUAAUUCAUGAAAACAACCCAUAUUUAUAAUUGCUAAGCAUACUAACAUCCUAUAACAUCUUCACUUGCAAGAAAUGCAUCUUAUUAACAAUAAUCCAAGCAUUAUAACAUAGCUUACAUAACAUUCAUCAUCACUAAUUUACCAUGACAACAAAUUUCCAAAGUAAUGCAUUAAACCUAGUAACUAACAAUCAUAUUAGAAACAACAAAACUCACCACAAGCAAGCAAAUCCACACGCCAAUUAACAUGCCUUGAAAAUCAAACAAAUUGACAGAGUUUCCAUCAAACAAGAACGGUGCGUCACCAUGUAUGAUCCUCCCAACGACGUUACGUACCAAUCCUGCAGCAUUCAUGGGACAUGAUUAAUUGCCAAAAAAUAAAAUAAUUGACUAAGAGCUUCUCAACCAAACGGCGACAGGAACACAUAUCACUGAUACAACCAUUCUAGUUUGGCGAUAUGCAAGUCAUGAAUAGCAAGGUGCACGUAAAGUUCAUUGGAUCCAUGUACUUAAUAUGACGAACCCAGUGCAGAAACGCACCCCAACAAGAAAUUAACCUACUAUAAACAAAGGCAUCGGGAAUUACAAUAUCAUAACACACUUAGCCGCUCCAAAGGUCGGUACCGAAAGCGAAACCGCUGAUAAAAGUUUCUCGAGUAAAGGUGGAAAUAGACAUCGUCCAAUUACCUCAGAGUUGUUGUCGAGACGUGGUUUGGCCCCAGAUUUUUGUCACCUAUCCGCUUGAUAUUACCCUCGAGGCAAUCAUAAACGACUUGGAGCGCUUCAUUUCCCCCAUAUUUACCACCUCUGAAUAAUGGAAUAGCCUGCAAAAAGGGAACAUUGAUAGUGGGCUGUUUUAAACUAGGCUAUUGGAAACCAAUCGAAAGCAAAAACACAAAGACCUCACCAUUACAACAUAGGUAAUGUCUGCAAAAAUCUGUGCUGGCUGCCUCGUAAAUCCAAAGUGAGACCUGCUUACACCUGCUGUAUCGGUCUAGAGUUCCUUGACCAUCAUGAAGUCAUUUGCAAAAAACCCGCUAUGCAUUUUGCUCUGCAGCAUGCCAAGCUAGAGCUUCAAUGUACAUAACCCUGCAAAUAAUUAACUGCAAAAACUCACUCAUUAAAUCACAAAAGGAGGCGGCCCAUUCUAACUAACCUAAGGGUAACCCAUUGGAUCAUUACUCAACCAUUUGAACUGGUAGUUACAACAAAUUAACCACCCUAACAGAUUUGUGAUUUUUCUAACUAACUCGAGUUUGGGGUGAAGACGAAUGGGAAUUUCAAAACUGAAUAACUGGAAAGGUAAUAAAUACUUACCAAGCCUCAUUCACAAAGGAUCGAAUUUUUGGAUUCUCACCCUCCUUUGCAAUUUUCGCUGCCCCUUUCUCUUACUUUCACUCCAAAGCUCAUUCUGGAUUGUUGUUUAGAGCUCCUCAUUGAAGUUCUGAAAUAAUAAGAGCUAAACCUCCUUUUCCGAGACAAGAAGAAGAAGAAGAAGAAGGCGAGGUCGCGAAGGAUUCAUACCGGAAACGCCGCCAUCCUUGGUCUACGUCGCCGUCUUCUAUCUUCAACGCCUUCCAGAUUAGAUCUCCGUUCUACAGGUAGGCUCGAUCCACCUUUCUUUCUUAAUAUUUUUGUCAUAGGCGUGUGUAAUCACCCGGAGUAGUGGAAGCCCUAACGCAAGAGGCUCCAAUUCCCUUCGAUUCUCGCCUAUUUCAGGCUUCAAGACUUAGGGUUUGGUAUUGGUAACGCGAAAACGUAUCGUAUUUUUUUUGACUCCAUAUGCAUUUCUUUUACUCGAUUAACAUUUAUUAUUACGCAAUAUUUCAUGUUUAUUACAGGUAUUUAUCGAUUAAAAGGUUUACCGCAAGCAAAAAGGAAAGAAAAAGGGAAGCAAAAGAGAAGAAAAUGAGGCUUUCAAAUGGAUAAUGGGCCACCAAAGCAAAUGGGCUUGUGGCGCCCAUUAUCCAAGGAGUGUGGCGCCCUCCACAUUGGACCAUGAGGAAGGUGUCGCCCGCCACCAGCCCUUGAGAAGUGGUUGCUACAAAGGUGGCGCUCGCCACUCAUUAAGAAGCUAGGGUUGUGGCAACCGCCACAACCUAGUCUUCCACUAUUUUCUCCACUUUUUAUGCCACGAUUGCCACCACCUUGCUACAUUUUAGGGAUUACGGAAAAGAUAUAAAAAUGGACCUCUCAGACUCCCAGGACUCUCUCUCUUCUUCCAAUUUCAAGUUCACGAUUAAUUUUGUUCAGCACAAUUUUUUUCUUUUAGUUUUCUAGGCAGUUUUCUUACCUUGUAAAAGUGAUAGUUUCUCCACAUCAGGGACUAUUACGGUUUAUUAGUUUUUACGCAUUUGGGAUUCAAUUGUAAGGGUUAUUCAUUGCCAAAGCCUGCCG